AGUCGAGCGGACAGAUGGGAGCUUGCUCCCUGAUGUUAGCGGCGGACGGGUGAGUAACACGUGGGUAACCUGCCUGUAAGACUGGGAUAACUCCGGGAAACCGGGGCUAAUACCGGAUGGUUGUUUGAACCGCAUGGCUUCAAACAUAAAAGGUGGCUUCGGCUACCACUUACAGAUGGACCCGCGGCGCAUUAGCUAGUUGGUGAGGUAACGGCUCACCAAGGCAACGAUGCGUAGCCGACCUGAGAGGGUGAUCGGCCACACUGGGACUGAGACACGGCCCAGACUCCUACGGGAGGCAGCAGUAGGGAAUCUUCCGCAAUGGACGAAAGUCUGACGGAGCAUCGCCGCGUGAGUGAUGAAGGUUUUCGGAUCGUAAAGCUCUGUUGUUAGGGAAGAACAAGUACCGUUCGAAUAGGGCGGUACCUUGACGGUACCUAACCAGAAAGCCACGGCUAACUACGUGCCAGCAGCCGCGGUAAUACGUAGGUGGCAAGCGUUGUCCGGAAUUAUUGGGCGUAAAGGGCUCGCAGGCGGUUUCUUAAUUCUGAUGUGAAAGCCCCCCGGCUCACACCCGGGAGGGUCAUUGGAAACUGGGG
This 599-nucleotide ribosomal RNA is filed under the name Bacillus sp. (in: firmicutes). RNAcentral describes it as "bacterial SSU rRNA". It matches the Rfam family "Bacterial small subunit ribosomal RNA", at positions 60 to 638 of the family's 1533-position model. Lineage: Bacteria; Bacillati; Bacillota; Bacilli; Caryophanales; Bacillaceae. The record is from RNAcentral.